CAGCUGGGGGCGCUGAGCAGCAGGCCGCAAGGACGUCAACGCGUGGAGGCUGGAUUGGAUUUCGGCACUGGUCUGCAUUGCAAUUGAUCAUUUGGAUAGCGUCGGAUCCUGCAGCCGAAGUGCUGACUGCGACCGACGCGCUGACACUGAACGCUGACUGUGCCGUCAGCGCUGUCAGCAGCGCCGGCAAUGCGCUGAUCACGACUGCCUUCGCGGCCUUCGUGUGGCUUAUCAAUCAGAGACUCGUCGGACGGGCCAGACAGACAGCGAAUUGGCACCGAUUGACCCUCAGCUCCAGGGCAGCCGUCAUGAGCCAGCAAAACGCAGGCCGGACUGUCAGCAAAAAGCCGUCUGGACAAACCAAACUGUUGUCUCUCUGUCGUAUUGUGACAGCGCCACGGCGCCCAAACAGUCCGCCUUUUUGCGCGGCUCGACCAACACCGAGCGUCCAAGUUCGUAUUUACAUGUGACACGAAUUUCCCUGUUCCAAUAUUUUGCCACAUCACGCAGGACGAGCGUCGCGCACGAGAGCGUGGCGUUUGGCCGGAGCUGACACUAUCCGCCGCCACGCUUACGAGGCGGUUCCGUGGCCUUUCUCAGGCCGCCCCGGUCCGGCUGCGCUGCGCCGGUCGUCGCCGGCGUCACGCGCGUCGCCGACGGCUUUUUACCUUUAAACCCCACGAGCCACGCAUCGUCGCCGCCGAGUGGCAUCUUUCCGGCGGCGAAAUUUAAACCUCGUCGGCGGUGGUU
Molecule: long non-coding RNA, 750 nt
Organism: Amphibalanus amphitrite
Lineage: Eukaryota; Metazoa; Arthropoda; Thecostraca; Balanomorpha; Balanidae
Exons: 3
Source: RefSeq, a predicted model, not a curated record